Molecule: ribosomal RNA, 775 nt
Filed under: uncultured Neocallimastigales
Lineage: Eukaryota; Fungi; Neocallimastigomycota; Neocallimastigomycetes; Neocallimastigales
Description: partial large subunit ribosomal RNA
Rfam family: Eukaryotic large subunit ribosomal RNA
Source: RNAcentral
UACUAGAGUAGCACUCGCAUAUCAAUAAGCGGAGGAAAAGAAACUAACAAGGAUUCCCCUAGUAACGGCGAGUGAAGCGGGAAGAGCUCAAAUUUGAAAUCUUAAAGGGUUUCCCUUUACGAAUUGUAGUUUAAAGAAGUGUUUUCUGUUGAGGUUUUGGUAAAAGUUCUUUGGAAUAGGACAUCAUAGAGGGUGAGAAUCCCGUAUUUGACCUUUACUUUCAACUUUGUGAUACACUUUCAAAGAGUCGGAUUGUUUGGGAAUGCAGUCCAAAAUGGGUGGUAAAUUUCAUCUAAAGCUAAAUAUUGGCGAGAGACCGAUAGCGAACAAGUACCGUGAGGGAAAGAUGAAAAGAACUUUGAAAAGAGAGUUAAACAGUACGUGAAAUUGUCAAAAGGGAAGCGUUUGACACCAGUGUUGUUUUUCUGAAAAUCAAUUAAAGAACUGUUUAUGCUAAGCUGUUUAGACUUUAUCAGCUAUCUGUUUAGUUUUGAGCUUUUCUUUAAUGCACUUUUCAGUUAACAAGUCAACAUCUAAUUUCCUUUGCUGUAACAAAGCUUGAGGAAGGUGGCUUGAGAUUCGUCUUAAGUGUUUAUAGCCUCUUGCCUAUGCAGUCGGAGAGAUUGAGGUCUGCAGCGUAGAUCCUUCGGGGCUAAAUGCAUUUGUGCUAAGUUAUAGCAUUUUAUAGACAACUUGUUGACUAUGAUUUGUCUUGUAGCUUACUCGCUUAUGUUAUUUUACCUACGCUUAGGAUGUUGAGCGCAUGUCUCUCUCU